GGGGUUGUAGCUCAGUGAUAGAGCACUUGCCUUGCAUACAUGAGGCCCUGGGUUUGAUCCUCAGCACCA
This 69-nucleotide transfer RNA is filed under the name Ictidomys tridecemlineatus (thirteen-lined ground squirrel). RNAcentral's name for it is "Spermophilus tridecemlineatus (thirteen-lined ground squirrel) tRNA". It matches the Rfam family "tRNA". From Rfam's summary of the family: Transfer RNA (tRNA) molecules are approximately 80 nucleotides in length. Their secondary structure includes four short double-helical elements and three loops (D, anti-codon, and T loops). Lineage: Eukaryota; Metazoa; Chordata; Mammalia; Rodentia; Sciuridae. The record is from Rfam by way of RNAcentral.